UAGGUUUGAUCCUGGCUCAGAACGAACGCUGGCGGCAUGCUUAACACAUGCAAGUCGAACGAGACCUUCGGGUCUAGUGGCGCACGGGUGCGUAACACGUGGGAAUCUACCUAAAGGUUCAGAAUAACAGUUAGAAAUGACUGCUAAUACUGGAUAAUGACUUCGGUCCAAAGAUUUAUUGCCUUUAGAUGAGCCCNCGCAAGAUUAGCUAGUUGGUGAGGUAAAAGCUCACCAAGGCGACGAUCUUUAGCUGGUCUGAGAGGAUGAUCAGCCACACUGGGACUGAGACACGGNCCAGACUCCUACGGGAGGNAGCAGUGGGGAAUAUUGGACAAUGGGNGGAAANCCUGAUCCAGCAAUGCCGCGUGAGNGAUGAANGNCUUANGGNUGUAAAGCUCUUUUNCUAGGGANGANAAUGACNGUACCUAGAGAAUAANCUCCCGGCUAANUCCNNGCCNGCAGCCNCGGNAAU
This 472-nucleotide ribosomal RNA is filed under the name uncultured Alphaproteobacteria bacterium. Its description in RNAcentral is "partial 16S ribosomal RNA". It matches the Rfam family "Bacterial small subunit ribosomal RNA", at positions 1 to 524 of the family's 1533-position model. Lineage: Bacteria; Pseudomonadati; Pseudomonadota; Alphaproteobacteria. The record is from RNAcentral.